Molecule: long non-coding RNA, 1896 nt
Filed under: Macaca mulatta (Rhesus monkey)
Lineage: Eukaryota; Metazoa; Chordata; Mammalia; Primates; Cercopithecidae
Description: lncRNA (ENSMMUG00000052331.1)
Source: RNAcentral
ACUGAUCUUAUUAAGCAACCAUUUGCAUAAUAAGAUUAUGCACUUUCCACUUGGGCGGCGCCAUCUUGGCUACUCCUUGCUGUACUGGCGGCUGCGAAGAGAAGACGGAGCCACCAUUUUGAUCAUGCCUAGUCCCAGGUGAUUUGGACCAAGCUUCUCACCAGCUUUUCCCAAAUUUAAGCCGACCUGGGACACCUUGACUCCAAGCCCACCAGUAAGUCCCACAUGCCGCAGGGCCUCUCACCAUCUCUGCUGAGAAGGGACCCUUACUGGCAGCUAGGAUCCUUGAGACCAUCGUCAAGGACAACCUGGCUAAGGUGGGGUUGGUCCAGGACAUCCUGACUGGGAAAGCAGCAGCUGUGAAGUUCAUUGAUGAGACUCAGCAGAUCUCCAGCCUCUAGACACCAUCCACAAAGUAGGAAUCAUUAAGGCUCGGAUCACCCCAAUAUAGUGAAGGAUUUGCUGUGAUUGAUAGUGAGGAAUCUCUGUCUCAUCACCAAGCAUGCUAGCAAGAAGUUUGUGAAUACCUACUCAGAGCAGGAAAGAGGCCUGAAGCAAAUUCCACCAAAAGUGUCUGCUGUGCAAGCUGUCACCAGAAGUGUAUUGUCCAUGUUAACAUGAACAUCAGAGGUUGGGUUCAGGAAUAAAUUCACCUUUCACAGCAAGCUGGGUACCUUUUGUGGUAGUCCCCUUAGGCUGCCCUGGAAUUCUUCUAGAGCCACAGAUAUGAGCUGGUGGAUGCAUGGAGUCUGGGAGUUAUCCUGUAUAUACUGGGAAGCGGAUCCUUAUUUUUCGAUGGACAGAACCUCAAGGAGCUAUGAGAGCAGGUACUGAGCAGGAUGUAUUCCAUUCCCUCCUCCAUGUCCCUGGAGAGUGAAAACUUGCUGAGGAAAUUUCUCAUUGUCAAUUGCAGCGAGAGGCCCUUCAGAGCACAGUGUGAGGGAUCCAUGGAUGAAUGCGGGUCAUGAAGGUGAGGAACUUAAGCGCUGUAUGCAGCCACUCUCCCACUGGGAGGACCCCCUGCAAACUAAGUUCAUGGUAUCCACGGGUUACAGACAGGAAGAGAUCCAGGACUUGCUGAGGACUAUGAGGACGCGUGGUCACCUGCCUGCUCCUGGGUUCUCUUUCAUCCCAGGAGGUACAGCUCAGGGUCUCUGCCAGCCCAGAGCAGCGGUGGUUUCAGCAACCUGCCUUUCCCAUCUUUCACGGCCUAAGAAGACUCAGAGGAGCCACCCAGAGCCUCAACAGGAUCAGGAGACAGCGUGGAAGGGCAGCAACACAGAAACGGGCCAGCCAGCUCCCUACUAGCCUGGAGGGGACGAACCCCGCCCCUGCUGUGAACAGCGACCUCUCCACCAACACCAAAAAGAGCAGGAAUUCCUCACUCGGGGCGAAAGCCAGUUUGGCCGGACCUCCACCCAGAACGACAACGGCAGCCCCACAGCGCUGGGGCCUGAGGCCUCCUGGGCUCUUGCUUCUCACCUCUACCCCGUCUCCCCGGCCACCAGCCCGGGAAUCCCAGUUGGUCUCCUUGCAGCCCAACCAGGCCUCGGUGCUGCACCCCACGGUGAGCAGCUGGGAGGUGCCCGCCCGGCACAGCUCCCUCAGAGUGUCCCUGCGGCCUCCCUUCUACCCGCUUCAUCAGCGGAGUGGGCAGAGCCCCGGGUGGGACCAGGUACGCGCGGCCGGGCAGCCCAACAGGGUGACUCCAGCCUCUCCCUCUGGCAAAGGCGGCGGCCAGCAGGGGGCCGCCGGGAGCUUCUUCAGCAAGUUCAAGUUCACAGGCUGGACUCAGCUGCCGGUUUGCCCGAAGGAGCCUGAAGGCAAAGACGGGGGAGGACACGAUUCACAAUGAGAAAUUAGAGUCACUUUUUGGUACAGAAAAAAGAAAAAAAA